UAGCUUAGAUUUACACAUUGAGGGCAUCUGAGAGAUGGCUCAGAGGUUAAGAGCACUGACUGCUCUUCCAGAGGUCCUGAGUUCAAUUCCCAGCAACCACAUGGUGGCUCACAACCACCUGUAAUGAGAUCUGGUGCCCUCUUCUGACCUGCAGUCAUAUAUGCUGUAUACAUAAUAAGUAAAUCUUUAAAAAAAAAAAAAAAAAAACUUUAAAAAAAUUUACACAUUGAAGAGCCUUGUCGUGUUCCCAGUUGGGGGUAGGGCUUUCGAAUAAUGUUGCUAUUUACAAUUGCCUAUGAGCUCUUAUGUGCGUACAAGCCUUAAUUUGUAUUGAGUAAAUUUCCAGGGAUUAAUGGAUCACAUGGCAAGUGGAUGUUUAUAAGAAACUGUCCAACUCCUUUUCCAAAAUGGCUAUCCCAUUCUGUACUUCCAAACCUAAGUAACGGGAGCAAAGCUCUGUCGCUCUGCAUCCUCACCAGCUUUGGUAUCGAUACACACGCUUUCCACCAAACACACAAUAUACGAAAUAAAGAUUUUAAACUGGGCGUUUAAACCUCAAGUGCUGGGAUUAUGGAUGAGUCAUCACGCAGGGCUGUGGGAGGAUAGUCAGGAACUGAGGACCAGGAAGGGUUAAAUGACCCAAUUCAUCACAAAAUCAGGAUUCGUUCACAGACACCGUCUAAGCUCCUUCUACCGCCCGAGUGCUUUAGGCUCAUUUUCACCCCCCGCCUGGCUGCUGGGACAGAAUACCUCAAACACAUCACGUUUUUACUUGCGUGGGUCGGCUUACUGCUAAGGGGUGCGCUAAUUACAGAUCCCGAACUGAGUUGUAGGGAAAAAAAAAUCCGGAAGCCGUGAGCCCGCAGCUUGCAAACUGCCGGUUUCUCCCAGCGCCAUGGUUGGCGUGUGACCUUUCUACACUCGGGAGGACUCGGAAAGCAAGACCAAUGAGCCGAUCGCUCCUGUGCGCAGGACAAUAAAACUGGGUUCCUAUUGGUCAGUAUCGCAAGAGCCCGCCCAACAACUUCCGGGAAGCCUUCUUUAAGUUAAGGUCUGGCGACCAUUUCUGCCUCUUAGCGACCGGCCGACGGCGAAGAUCUGCCCGGUGGAGGACAGCAGACAGCGUGGGCCUCCCCACCCUUCCCCCAAGCCUCUGAAUAAAGUGUGUGUUGACUCUAA
Molecule: long non-coding RNA, 1179 nt
Organism: Peromyscus maniculatus bairdii (prairie deer mouse)
Lineage: Eukaryota; Metazoa; Chordata; Mammalia; Rodentia; Cricetidae
Source: RefSeq, a predicted model, not a curated record